UGAGCCGAAGUUGGACGCUUAACUGACUGAGCCACCCAGGCACCCCUAUAAGAGAAGCUUCUCUAUUCACAUCUCCCAUUUGUAGUAACACAAUCCCAUUGAUAGGAGUGGCUUCCCUAUUGCCUUUUUCAAAAUCAGGAGCCAUGGCAGAAGAAAUUAAAACAUGAUGGUCUGCAUCUAGUUGUGAAUCCAAAAGCAUUAAGAACUCGUACCAUUGAUGAAAUCUCUGGCAGAACCCAUGAAGAAUGAGGACAAUUGUUUCCCGUUCACAUAGUGGAUCAUACAGAGAGUGUUCUGGAAUUGUUGAGUGUUCUGCAGUGAUUUUUCAAGCCUCCUUUGGAAGUAGCUGGACGGUACAGAAGAAGAUGGUGUGGUGUGUUGAGGUGUAUGUAUCAAGGGAUCACAUCAUCACUCUCUCUGGGAUUUCUGUGCUCAAGUCAUUCAAAGGAAACAGACAUGUUCCUGUGGAUGAGGAAUGGCUAUGUCUGUCACCCAUGUAGGAUUUAGGCAAGUGUGAUCUUAGCAAGGAGACCUCGAUCCUUCCAAGCUGGUAUGCAUGACCAAAAGUGGAGUUGUUCUAAGGUACUCACAAAAGCUAUUAAAGUGGCAUGUAAACCAGUAAUGACUACACAUGGGUUCCAUCCAUGACUACCUGUGCCAACGUGCCAAAAAGACACAGGAUGAUUGCUCUGUGCCACCAAUAAAGCUUUUAAAACCACUAAGAGAAAGGUGGAUUCUUGGAACAAACAACAAAAACAACAAUAAAAACAUUUUCAUUGAGAAAACAGUA
Molecule: long non-coding RNA, 790 nt
Organism: Suricata suricatta (meerkat)
Lineage: Eukaryota; Metazoa; Chordata; Mammalia; Carnivora; Herpestidae
Exons: 2
Source: RefSeq, a predicted model, not a curated record